This 495-nucleotide ribosomal RNA is filed under the name uncultured bacterium. RNAcentral's name for it is "partial 16S ribosomal RNA". It matches the Rfam family "Bacterial small subunit ribosomal RNA", at positions 28 to 507 of the family's 1533-position model. The record is from RNAcentral.
GAUGAACGCUGGCAGCGUGCCUAAUACAUGCAAGUAGAACGCUGAAGGAGGAGCUUGCUCUUCUGGAUGAGUUGCGAACGGGUGAGUAACGCGUAGGUAACCUGCCUGUUAGCUGGGGAUAACUAUUGGAAACGAUAGCUAAUACCGCAUGACAACAGUUAUUGCAUGAUAACUGUUUAAAAGUGGCAACUGCUCCACUACCAGAUGGACCUGCGUUGUAUUAGCUAGUUGGUGAGGUAACGGCUCACCAAGGCGACGAUACGUAGCCGACCUGAGAGGGGGAGCGGCCACACUGGGAGUGAGACACGGCACAGACGCCUACGGGAGGCAGCAGUAGGGAAUCGUCGGCAAGAGACGGAAGUCUGACCGAGCAACGCCGCGGGAGUGAAGAAGGUUGUCGGAUCGUAAAGCUCUGUUGUAAGAGAAGAAAGAGUGUGAGAGUGGAAAGUUCACACUGUGACGGUAUCGUACCAGAAAGGGACGGCUAACUACGUG